UGGGGAGUGGUGUAACUGGCUAGCACAGGAGCCUUUGGAGCUCCGGGUCGGGGUUCGAGCCCUCGCUCCCCAG
This 73-nucleotide transfer RNA is filed under the name Actinomycetota bacterium. RNAcentral's name for it is "tRNA-Gln". It matches the Rfam family "tRNA". Rfam says of the family: Transfer RNA (tRNA) molecules are approximately 80 nucleotides in length. Their secondary structure includes four short double-helical elements and three loops (D, anti-codon, and T loops). Further hydrogen bonds mediate the characteristic L-shaped molecular structure. tRNAs have two regions of fundamental functional importance: the anti-codon, which is responsible for specific mRNA codon recognition, and the 3' end, to which the tRNAs corresponding amino acid is attached (by aminoacyl-tRNA synthetases). tRNAs cope with the degeneracy of the genetic code in two manners: having more than one tRNA (with a specific anti-codon) for a particular amino acid; and 'wobble' base-pairing, i.e. permitting non-standard base-pairing at the 3rd anti-codon position. The record is from RNAcentral. Lineage: Bacteria; Bacillati; Actinomycetota.